This 379-nucleotide unclassified non-coding RNA is filed under the name uncultured Gammaproteobacteria bacterium. RNAcentral describes it as "contains 16S-23S intergenic spacer region". Lineage: Bacteria; Pseudomonadati; Pseudomonadota; Gammaproteobacteria. The record is from RNAcentral.
UCCGGUUCACCACCGGCAGUCUCCUUAGAGUCCCCGUCAUUACACGCUGGUAACUAAGGAUAGGGGUUGCGCUCGUUACGGGACUUAACCCAACAUCUCACAACACGAGCUGACGACAGCCAUGCAGCACCUGUCUCCUGGUUCCUUUCGGCACCCCCAUAUCUCUACAGGGUUCCAGGGAUGUCAAGGGCAGGUAAGGUUCUUCGCGUUGCAUCGAAUUAAACCACAUGCUCCACCGCUUGUGCGGGCCCCCGUCAAUUCCUUUGAGUUUUAGCCUUGCGGCCGUACUCCCCAGGCGGAGAACUUAUCGCGUUAGCUUCGAUACUAAACAGUCUAAGCUGCCCAACAUCUAGUUCUCAUCGUUUACAGCAUGGACUAC